GUGAACUCUUACUGCCUCUCUGAUGCAUCUUAGAGCUUCCCUGAGCCCUCUGGUGUUUUCUUGGCCCUAAUACUUCUCUCUUUGGUAUUUUUUGUAUUUUAAUUUUUCUUUCCUUCCCUGUGUGGAUAUUGGAAAUGUUUCUAUCACAAAGAUCUAUAAAGCCACUUGUGGUUUCUGAGUGCUUUGACUUUCUGCUAUUGCUCAAUUCUCAAGGCUGGCUUGUGCUGCCACUGGUCACUGUGUCAAAAGGCAGGGGCUACAUCCCAGAUCUGCUCUUCCUUCACUGAAACUGGAGGACAUGGAGAGAUAGAGAAGUACAGGAAGACACCACCAGCAUGGGAGCAUGGGCUUCCACAGCGGAGGACCUCCUCCUGAAGGUAUGGACUCACAUUCUAAAGAAUAGAUUUGAAAAAUAUGAGGAACGGGUUUUAUUAGCCCGAAUAAUGUGGUGAGCGAACCGUGGAAUUGGACAUAUCAGA
Vidua macroura (Pin-tailed whydah) is the source of this 479-nucleotide long non-coding RNA. RefSeq lists it as uncharacterized. The transcript has 3 exons. NCBI's taxonomy places the organism in Eukaryota, Metazoa, Chordata, Aves, Passeriformes, Viduidae. The record is from RefSeq and is a predicted model, not a curated record.